This 897-nucleotide long non-coding RNA is filed under the name Sorghum bicolor (sorghum). Its description in RNAcentral is "long non-coding RNA (SBIC_LNC001118)". Lineage: Eukaryota; Viridiplantae; Streptophyta; Magnoliopsida; Poales; Poaceae. The record is from RNAcentral.
GUUCAUAUUGAGUGCUCUAGUUAUUUAUGGUAAUUAGAGUAGUAAACACUAGCGUAGACGUGGUGUCUAGGCUAUAAUUUACGUAAGUUGGCGUCCAAUCCCACGGAUAGUUGUGGUAGCCCCAAAGGUGAUAGCUCUGUUAGGUCUUUGUAUUCCACCACGUUUGGAUUGGUGUUUCGUAGAGCUUUUAGGCAGCUUUCUUCUAAUUACCUUCUUUCGAGUUUUUUUCAAGAGUUAGAAAGGACCUCCUGCUCCACAGCUAGUAUAGUAUUUGAUCCAUCAAUGAACUUAGAAAACUCUAGAAGGUUCCUCUCCACCUACUAGAAAUAUAUAUAUCUUUCAUCUCUUAUCUUCAUCCUUGGACAGUCUUCAUUCUCUAGUACGCUUCACGUUUCCCGUGGAAAUCGAUACUCUGAAAUACACCUAGAUUAAAGCUACAUCAGUAUCCGUGCGCUUGCGGAAUUUCUAUGUGGAGACUAGGCUUUUUGUCUAUCUUGAGUGAUUUCGUUAAAAAGUAUCAAUAAUAGUAUAACUUAUAAAUAUAUAAAUUUAAAAAGAAAAAAUAGAUGAAAUAAAAAACAAAAAGGAAGAAAAAUAGUAAUUUGAUCAACGUUCUCUCUUGCUUGCCGCGGUCGAACCUCGCGAACGACCAUGGAAUGGAAUUGAAUAUCCAGGGGGGCUUUAGCACGCAGGCGAUGAGAGAGCCCAAGGCAAUCGAGGUGCGGCCAAGCAGGCGGCACAAAUCGGUCUCAAAAUAGAGUUAGUAAUGAUGAACUAGGCAAAAAUACCUAAUAUAAUAAUUUUUGGAACAUAUUUAGUAAAAAUCACAAUCUUCGUCGAAAUUCAUGCAAACUACGGUAAAAAGUUGUCUAAAUUCAUCAAAAAAAUCACACAUGU